This 500-nucleotide ribosomal RNA is filed under the name uncultured Sphingobacteriales bacterium. RNAcentral's name for it is "bacterial SSU rRNA". It matches the Rfam family "Bacterial small subunit ribosomal RNA", at positions 903 to 1382 of the family's 1533-position model. Lineage: Bacteria; Pseudomonadati; Bacteroidota; Sphingobacteriia; Sphingobacteriales. The record is from RNAcentral.
CGCCUUGCCAGCCCGCUCAGAACUUAAAUGAAUUGACGGGGGCCCGCACAAGCGGUGGAGCAUGUGGUUUAAUUCGAUGAUACGCGAGGAACCUUACCUGGGCUCAAAUGUAUGUGACGUAUUCUAAAAGGGAUACUUCUUCGGACAAUAUACAAGGUGCUGCAUGGUUGUCGUCAGCUCGUGCCGUGAGGUGUCGGGUUAAGUCCCAUAACGAGCGCAACCCCUAUCAUUAGUUGCCAUCAGGUCAAGCUGGGGACUCUAAUGAAACUGCCUACGCAAGUAGUGAGGAAGGUGGGGAUGACGUCAAAUCAGCACGGCCCUUACGUCCAGGGCUACACACGUGCUACAAUGGCCGGUACAAAGGGCAGCUACCUGGUGACAGGAUGCUAAUCUCAAAAGCCGGUCUCAGUUCGGAUCGGAGUCUGCAACCCGACUCCGUGAAGUCGGAAUCGCUAGUAAUCGUGAAUCAGAAUGUCACGGUGAAUACGUUCCCGGGCCUU